GAUGAACGCUCGCGGCAGGCCUAACACAUGCAAGUCGAGCGAGGAGCCUUCGGGCUUCGACCGGCGUACGGGUGCGUAACGCGUAUACAAUCUGCCUUUCACAUAGGGAUAGCCCGAAGAAAUUUGGAUUAAUACCUAAUGGUAUAUAGAUGUGGCAUCACCUUUAUAUUAAGGCUUAGGCGGUGAAAGAUGAGUAUGCGUUCUAUUAGCUAGUUGGAGAGGUAACGGGUCCCCAAGGCGACGAUAGAUAGGGGUGCUGAGGGGGAUAUCCCUCACACUGGUACUGGGAUACGGGCCAGAGUCCUACGGCAGGCAGCAGUGAGGGAUACAGGACAGGGGUCGGAAGACUGAUCCAGCCAAGCCGCGUGCAGCAAGACGGCGUGAUGGAUGGUAAACUGCUUUUGCAAGGGAAGAAUAAGGACUACGCGUAGUUCGAUGACGGUACUCGGCGAAUAAGCAUCGGCUAACUCCGUG
RNAcentral lists this ribosomal RNA (474 nucleotides) under uncultured bacterium. RNAcentral describes it as "partial 16S ribosomal RNA". It matches the Rfam family "Bacterial small subunit ribosomal RNA", at positions 28 to 507 of the family's 1533-position model. The record is from RNAcentral.